RNAcentral lists this long non-coding RNA (217 nucleotides) under Solanum tuberosum (potato). RNAcentral describes it as "long non-coding RNA (STUB_LNC009168)". Lineage: Eukaryota; Viridiplantae; Streptophyta; Magnoliopsida; Solanales; Solanaceae. The record is from RNAcentral.
UGGUAGUGAUGUACUUCUACCUUCGCCUUCUUUGGGCGCUUGAUUGAUUUCUGUUUCACCAGUUUCUUCACCAUCUUCUUUCUAAUCGGUUGCUCACAUGAUUCUUUUUGUAAGCUUGACUUGUUGCGUCUUCGCCUAGUCACAAGAAUCCAGCCUUUAUCACCAUCUAUAUCAACUUGAGAUUUGUCUAGUUCCAAUGACUCUUCUUCAUGCUUUU